UGGGAAGGUCCCUACAUUGUUACC
Molecule: non-coding RNA, 24 nt
Filed under: Arabidopsis thaliana (thale cress)
Lineage: Eukaryota; Viridiplantae; Streptophyta; Magnoliopsida; Brassicales; Brassicaceae
Source: RNAcentral